RNAcentral lists this ribosomal RNA (1314 nucleotides) under Ulva expansa. RNAcentral describes it as "bacterial LSU rRNA". It matches the Rfam family "Bacterial large subunit ribosomal RNA", at positions 2115 to 2912 of the family's 2925-position model. The record is from RNAcentral. Lineage: Eukaryota; Viridiplantae; Chlorophyta; Ulvophyceae; Ulvales; Ulvaceae.
UAUAAGAUAUUUAUAUAAGCAGCUUCAUAGAACAUCUGUUACGCAAGUAAAGGACAGUGUAUGUAAGCAAGCCUUAUAUAAAACACUUUAGUUAAUAAAGAUCGAAGACAGUGUUAGGUGGGCAGUUUACUUGGGGCGAGGUCUGGCUAAAAGGUAACGCCAGAGAGCAAAAGGUAUGCUCAGUAUUGUCGGAAACAAUAUGUAGAGCGUAAUAGUAUAAGCAUGCCUGAUUAUAAGACUGACAAGUCGAAUAAAGACGAAAGUCUGCUAUAGUGACCCUCACACGCUAUGUGGAAAGGUGUGAGAUCAACGAAUCAAAGUUACUCCAGGGAUAACAGGGUAGUCCUGGCUUAUAGUUCUUAUAGACGCCAGGGUUCGCCACCUUAACUAACAUUGGGGCUCUUAUCUAGGAAACUAGGUUAGGAAUGCAUUUGGCUAUAUGCUGGAACCCCCGUUUGCAUUUAAUUUAACAAAGAACAUUAUUUUUAAUAGCAAUGUAAAUAUUACGUGGCUUGCUUUAAUAUAAAAAGCUUGUUGACACAUGUGAUUGCGGGCAAUCAGCAGGGAAGUUCAAGCAACUUAAAUUUUUCUGUUGCAUAACCCCUCAACGACCACACGCCGAACACCCUUAUAAAGGGUGAUGAUAUGGUCUACUCUUACAAGAAAUUGUAAGUCAAUUCAAAUUAUAAAUAAAUUGAAUUGAUAUACACAACUACAUAAAAAACAAAUUUUUUCUUUAUACAUUAUGAUACAAAAAAAUAACUUAUCAACAUUUCCUUUGUUUUUGUUGGCUUGGCUUGGUCCUAUUCUAGCAAAAGGUUAGGUUUUAGAGCAUCAUCUAAUACACUGUUUUUAAGCUUAAUAAAACUUAUAUACAUCCAUAUUUUGAUUAUAAGCUUUAAGUAAUAUAGAAAAUGGUGCCAAUUGUAGUGUGUAUAAUAAUACACAGACGAUGUUGCCUCAGGUCAUCCUAGAGCUGCACAAGGUUCUAAGGGCGCAACUGUUCUUUGCAUAAUGACCUACGUGAGGUGAGUUUAAACCGCCGUAAGGCAGGUUUGGUUCUAUCUAGACAGCCAGAAUAUUUAACCAAGCACUAGAAUUCCACUGUACGAAAGGACCCGGAAUUCCACGCCAAUGGUUUAGCAAUUGUUUUGAAAAAAGCAUUGUUGCAACGCUAAGCGUGAAAUGUUAAUUGCUGAAAAACUAUCAAGCAAGAAACAAUUGUAAAGGUUAUAGUAGAUCGCAUUUGCGUGAAUAGGCGCGGGGUGUAAGCUUUGUAACAUGCUGAGCUACCGCGUACUAAUUACUUUUUUU